RNAcentral lists this ribosomal RNA (321 nucleotides) under Triticum aestivum (bread wheat). RNAcentral's name for it is "partial small subunit ribosomal RNA". The record is from RNAcentral. Lineage: Eukaryota; Viridiplantae; Streptophyta; Magnoliopsida; Poales; Poaceae.
AUGCAUCAUGGAGUCUGUGGUGGGCACCAAGGAGGGGCCAAGAUGUAUCAUAGUAUACGUCUAGCAGGAUACUACUGGCCCAGCAUUAUGGCAGACUGCCUUAGGUGGCUAGAUCAUGCCACAAUUGUCAAGUUCAUGGUGAUUUCAAGCACAGGCCGCCGGUCCCUCUUCACCCUACCAUUCCCUCUUGGCCAUUCGAUGCCUGGGGAAUUGACAUCAUCGGCCCUAUUGACCCUCCAUCUUCCAGGGGGCACCGCUUCAUCCUCGCCGCGACAGACUACUUCUCGAAGUGGGCGGAAGCUGUUCCAUUACGGGAGGUGA